This 363-nucleotide RNase P RNA is filed under the name Gilvimarinus gilvus. RNAcentral describes it as "RNase P RNA component class A". It matches the Rfam family "Bacterial RNase P class A". Rfam says of the family: Ribonuclease P (RNase P) is a ubiquitous endoribonuclease, found in archaea, bacteria and eukarya as well as chloroplasts and mitochondria. Its best characterised activity is the generation of mature 5'-ends of tRNAs by cleaving the 5'-leader elements of precursor-tRNAs. Cellular RNase Ps are ribonucleoproteins. Lineage: Bacteria; Pseudomonadati; Pseudomonadota; Gammaproteobacteria; Cellvibrionales; Cellvibrionaceae. The record is from RNAcentral.
GGAGUCGGCUCGGCAGUCGCUGCUUUAUCACCUCUGGUGUUAAGGUGGAGGAAAGUCCGGGCUCCAUAGGGCAGAGCGCCAGGUAACGCCUGGGAAGUGCGAGCUUACGGAAAGUGCAGCAGAGAGUAGACCGCCUACGUCACAUGUAUUGUGGCCGGUAAGGGUGAAAGGGUGCGGUAAGAGCGCACCGCGCGACUGGUAACAGUUCGUGGCAUGGUAAACCCCGCUCGGAGCAAGACCAAAUAGGAAUCCAUUGGUGUGGCCCGCACUGGAUUCGGGUAGGUCGCAUGAGGUGUGCGGUGACGCGCAUCCCAGAUGAAUGAUUGUCCACGACAGAACCCGGCUUACAGGCCGACUCCGAUU